Molecule: small nuclear RNA, 107 nt
Organism: Rhinopithecus bieti (black snub-nosed monkey)
Lineage: Eukaryota; Metazoa; Chordata; Mammalia; Primates; Cercopithecidae
Source: Ensembl
GUGCUCGCUUGGGCAGCACAUAUACUAAAAUUGGAACGAUACAGAGAAGAUUCGCAUGGCCCCUCUGCAAGGAUGACAUGCAAAUUCGUGAAGCAUUCCAUAUUUAA